This 240-nucleotide long non-coding RNA is filed under the name Carica papaya (papaya). Its description in RNAcentral is "long non-coding RNA (CPAP_LNC005566)". Lineage: Eukaryota; Viridiplantae; Streptophyta; Magnoliopsida; Brassicales; Caricaceae. The record is from RNAcentral.
AUGCCGUUUAUGUCAUCACCGAGGAGAGGUGAAAUUGAUCCCUCCAUCACAUGGAUAAUACAUGCACACAAAAUCUCACAAUGACCACAACAGUUAUGUUUGUUAGGUGACCCACACUCACAAAUAUCUAUCUACGUCUAGACUAAGUUUCAAACUCUAUCCAUGUGUAGGUUCACUAUGCCAGCUGAAUUUCAACCACACACACACUCUCCUCCUCGAUUCAAACUAAACAAGAAGGCA